Molecule: long non-coding RNA, 383 nt
Filed under: Homo sapiens (human)
Lineage: Eukaryota; Metazoa; Chordata; Mammalia; Primates; Hominidae
Description: HSALNT0190849
Source: RNAcentral
GAAGUCCAAUGUCCAGUGUAAGAUAUUUCCCUUAAAUUCCAGCUUUAUUUCUGACUUGCUCUAAGGCACUGGCUCAAGCUCUUAACUUCUAUAUUUCAGUUUUUCACUGAAAUAUCAGAAGGGACAAGAUGGGAAAGCUUCAUAAAAUAAUGGAAAAAGCAUGGCAAAAAUUGAGAGAGAGGAUGAGAACUCAAAAGGACAGAGAGAGAAAGACGGAACUCUCUUGAGAGACUGCCUCUGGGGUGAUCACUCAGAUUUUCUAAGGUCCCUGCUGCCCUACUCUAUGACAGAAUUCCAUCAGCUUGAAGACAGCUGGCAGGAGGCUGCUGGAGCAGAUGUGGAAGUAACCAUAGAAGAAAUGGCAUGAAAGCAAAGUGACAUUU